GGAGUCCCUCCCUCUAAAAGCACUCUGUGUGGGGAACAUGAGAGCCAGACCAAAGCUCAGAGGAACCCACCUGGACCUCCACCCAGCUCUGUGUCCUUACAGAGUGACCGGUCUAAAGGUGCUGGUAUUGACUUUAAAUCAGACGUGUGUCGUCCUGCAGAGAGAGUGGACCAGCAGAGCUCAGAGGUUCCCAGUGGUCAGUCUGUCCAGCAGCAUCAAACACAGCUGGACUCCAUAUUUAUGGUCUGUACAUGUACAACAACUACUUUAUUAUUAAUAUUAAUAAUAAUACAUUUAUUUAAAGGUCCCUUUCAGAAC
Molecule: long non-coding RNA, 318 nt
Organism: Oreochromis aureus
Lineage: Eukaryota; Metazoa; Chordata; Actinopteri; Cichliformes; Cichlidae
Exons: 3
Source: RefSeq, a predicted model, not a curated record